This 253-nucleotide ribosomal RNA is filed under the name uncultured bacterium. RNAcentral's name for it is "partial 16S ribosomal RNA". It matches the Rfam family "Bacterial small subunit ribosomal RNA", at positions 524 to 776 of the family's 1533-position model. The record is from RNAcentral.
GACGGACCACAUGAACGUUAUUCGGAAUUACUGGGCUUAAAGGGUGCGUAGGCUGAGCAGAAAGUUGGGUGUGAAAGCCCUCGGCUUAACCGAGGAACUGCGCCCAAAACUACUGUGCUCGAGGGAGACAGAGGUGAGCGGAACUUAGGGUGGAGCGGUGAAAUGCGUUGAUAUCCUAAGGAACACCGGUGGCGAAAGCGGCUCACUGGGUCUCUUCUGACGCUGAUGCAAGAAAGCUAGGGGAGCGAACGGG